Molecule: long non-coding RNA, 1040 nt
Filed under: Anser brachyrhynchus (Pink-footed goose)
Lineage: Eukaryota; Metazoa; Chordata; Aves; Anseriformes; Anatidae
Description: lncRNA (ENSABRG00000014534.1)
Source: RNAcentral
UUUGGAUAACAUUUCUAUUAAUACAGAGAGAAAUAAACCAUUAAAUAUACCAUUUUGAUAUUCAGUUAAUAAGCAUAUAUAUAUAUUUUUAGUCAGUAGCUCACUUGGUUUUGUUCAUACAGAAUAUUAAGUUGGUUUAAGGGAGCAAACCUUUAUCCACAGCCAAUUGGUAGGAACCAGCUUAUAUCAACAUUCUCCAGACCACCGUACUGUCCUCUUGUCAUGGAUCACAUAUAACCAUGAUGUGCAUCAGGUAGAACAAAUAAUUGCACAGCCAUUGCUCUCCUGUGACUUUUAGCACCUUCAUGACUACAAGGCCCUCUUAUACAUACCACAUGAUACUGCUUUACUCAUCUAGAGUAGACCAGCACACCAAAAACACUUUCUCACAUUUCUCAAGCUUACAUUUUUCCUGUACCUCACUGAUUACAAUGAGGUCUUCGGUCUUUUGUCAGUACUUCUUCAAAAAGUCUUAUCCUUUUGAGACCAUCUGGGCCUUCCAUGUCAUUCUCCUCAUCUCGGUUCUCACAGGUUUUCUAGUAACAAAAAUAUGAUUCACCUCUCUAAACUUUAGAUAUCCAAAAGUUCAGAUGUCUCAACUGGUCGCCCUUGAGUCACUCCAUGCUUGAAGAAUGGGGUCAAUUAACUUUUAGAUGUAGGGAUGGAUACUAGUCACAAGGCCUGUAUUUGACCACAUCCAGCCCUUCACCCUUUUUGUGCUCCAUGUUUGUAAUUCUUGUUGUACAAUGAGGCUAUAAAUCCACUAUAGGGAGAGUUAGGUGCCAAAACAUUUACUUCAGUUAGCUGUAUUAUGUUUUGUGAUGCACUUCUUUUGUACAAAUGGCUCUACUUCCAUUGUCUUGCUUUACUCCAAGAUCAGAUUACAAAUUCUUGUCUAAUUUGCUGUCCUCUCUGUUCCCCAAGGUCUCUUGUAGCUUUACUGCACUUUCCAUAUCACAAAAUAUAUGUUUUUCAGUUUAUUUUCUCCUGCGUACUUUAAUUGUCAUUUCUGCCAGAUGAAACUCUUUACUGUAUUGGAG